RNAcentral lists this ribosomal RNA (400 nucleotides) under uncultured bacterium. RNAcentral's name for it is "bacterial SSU rRNA". It matches the Rfam family "Bacterial small subunit ribosomal RNA", at positions 356 to 773 of the family's 1533-position model. The record is from RNAcentral.
GGGGAAUCUUGCACAAUGGGGGAAACCCUGAUGCAGCGACGCCGCGUGAACGAUGAAGCCCUUCGGGGUGUAAAGUUCUUUCGACGGGGACGAUAAUGACGGUACCCGGAGAAGAAGCUGCGGCUAACUACGUGCCAGCAGCCGCGGUAAUACGUAGGCAGCAAGCGUUGUUCGGAAUUACUGGGCGUAAAGAGUGCGUAGGCGGUUAACUAAGUUUGGUGUGAAAUCUCCCGGCUUAACUGGGAGGGUGCGCCGAAAACUGGCUAGCUAGAGUGUGGGAGAGGAUAGUGGAAUUCCUGGUGUAGCGGUAAAAUGCGUAGAUAUCAGGAGGAACACCUGCGGUGUAGACGGCUAUCUGGACCAUGACUGACGCUGAGGCACGAAAGCGUGGGUAGCAAAC